Sardina pilchardus (European sardine) is the source of this 510-nucleotide long non-coding RNA. RefSeq lists it as uncharacterized. Lineage: Eukaryota; Metazoa; Chordata; Actinopteri; Clupeiformes; Clupeidae. The transcript is spliced from 2 exons. The record is from RefSeq and is a predicted model, not a curated record.
UGAUGACAACACUGUCAGCUAAAGAGACCAGGCGAUGACAACACUGUCUUUUCCCCGGUUCUGUGAGGUGACUCUUGUCUUGUCCUCUGUCACGGGAUGCGGUUUGUGGGAGUGACAUCAUCGGAGGUAUGGACACGCCUCCGUCCACCCCCAGCCUGCCUCCGUCCACCCCCAGCCUAUCAGGUGAGCUGAACCUUCACCUGAUGGUCCUUUUCAACCAGUUGUUCAACCAGUUUCCGGAUUUUGGACUGAUGCUUGUACAGUGUGGUGAUACAGUGCUGUUAUGUGCAUACUUACAGUAUUAAGUGAUUAUUUGUUUGUUUAUGUCUUGGUGUCAUGGGUACGCUGGCAACUACGCCGCUCCGUCUGGCAUCUUUUCUCUUAAUGUUUCUAAUGGGUUUGUUUUGGUGUUACCUGUUAAUUGUUACUCGUUACUUGUUGCAGGGCAUUUCUGAAAAGGAGCCUAAAGCUCAGUCAAGUUCCCCUGAAUAAAGAAUGGUUGAUGAUUAA